CUGACAUCUUGAGCUCUUAUUUUAUGCAGGGCCCUGUCCUGUGCUGACACACCAGCAAUUUGCUUGUGUUAACUUCUUUAAUUCUUGUAGCUCCUCUGUAAAAUAGGCGAUUAUCUUGCUUCUCGUUUUGCAGAGGGAACAGGCCUGGAGCAGUGAAAACUCUUAACCUUUCUGUUACUCUGAUCUUGGCAACUGGUCUCUCAUGUAUUCCUGAUGGCGUGCUUGAAAGUGGAACAUCCCAGAGCUGACAAAGACACUUACAAAGGAGGCCAGCUCUAUUUCUGGAAAGCUCACAGAAGGACAGAGCCCCUCACUGUGCUUUCUACAGGUGCUGCCUCUCCCCCAGGACACUCCAGUAAGGGGAUGAGACUCCUGGGGCUCCUGGGGGGGCGACGGGGCAGGUGGGCCAUCCUCCCUCACUCAGGAGCCAUCCCUUCUCAUGCAUUCAAGCUCCAAACUCUCACAUGCCCCCUUCUCUCCCAUUUCCCUGUAAGCCUCCCUCACUUCCUGAGUCCCAGUGGCAGCCUGGCUGCCUGCCAUUUUGGUUUCCUCCCCCUGGCUCAUCCUCAUCCUUGCUCUUGGAGGAACACCUCCAAAACUCAGAUGGGAGCCUCUCCUUCCCCUUCAAUGGCUGCCUCUAAUGGAAAGAACAUGCUCCUCAAAAUGAACAGCAAGCCUGUCCACGCUCUGACCCCAACUCCACGUCCACGCACCCCUCCACUGGCCCAGGGGCCGACCACCAUCAACUACCCCCAGGCUGAGUCCUGCGCACCCUCAGAGGAGUCAGGAGGAACAGGGUUCUUACUACACACGACGACAGGUUUUUUUGCCCCGACUAGACUGGAAGCUUCCUCAAGGAAGGUGCACGUCUUCUUGUCUUGUGUUUUCUUCACGUGGUUGACUGCCUAGAACCUGGGCUCCACAGAUCAUGAGUGAAUGAGGUGUGCUCCUCCUGUUUGUCCCAUACUUGUUUGGAAUUUUCUGCAAACAUCUGGUUGCUGACUCUUAUUUUGAUCUACU
RNAcentral lists this long non-coding RNA (1020 nucleotides) under Vulpes vulpes (red fox). Its description in RNAcentral is "lncRNA (ENSVVUG00000016548.1)". Lineage: Eukaryota; Metazoa; Chordata; Mammalia; Carnivora; Canidae. The record is from RNAcentral.